RNAcentral lists this ribosomal RNA (400 nucleotides) under uncultured bacterium. RNAcentral describes it as "bacterial SSU rRNA". It matches the Rfam family "Bacterial small subunit ribosomal RNA", at positions 355 to 746 of the family's 1533-position model. The record is from RNAcentral.
CUAAGAAUAUUCCGCAAUGGGAGAUAUCCUGACGGAGCGACGCCGCGUGAACGAUGAAGGCAGAAAUGUUGUAAAGUUCUUUUAUAGGUGACGAAUAAGGUUACUGAGAGAAACGGUAGCUGAUGACGGUAACUUAUGAAUAAGCCACGGCUAACUACGUGCCAGCAGCCGCGGUAAUACGUAGGUGGCAAGCGUUGUUCGGAAUUAUUGGGCGUAAAGGGCAUGUAGGCGGUUAGGAAAGUGUGAAUUGAAAGACCGAAGCUUAACUUCGUGUUUGGUUUGCAAACUAUCUGACUGGAGUACAGGAGGGGUGACUGGAAUUCCGCGUGUAGGGGUGAAAUCUGUAGAUAUGCGGAAGAAUACUUGUGGCGAAGGCGAGUCACUGGCCUGUAACUGACGC